This 809-nucleotide long non-coding RNA is filed under the name Salvia miltiorrhiza (redroot sage). RNAcentral's name for it is "long non-coding RNA (SMIL_LNC000782)". The record is from RNAcentral. Lineage: Eukaryota; Viridiplantae; Streptophyta; Magnoliopsida; Lamiales; Lamiaceae.
AUUAACAGUAAUUGAGUUAGAAACUGUAAUCUCAAUUUAUGAUAAUUAGAAUUCUUUUUGAAAUAAAACACAUAUACUAAUUGUUUCUAUUAAAACAAACAAACACAUAUAUUUGAUACUUACCGACACCGGCAAUGUAGUUGUAUUUGUCGCCAUUAAUGUAGAUGUUGGGGAUAUGGGAAACCUUGGGCCAUUCAGAAUCAGCUGCCUCCCUUUUAAUCACUAAUUCCGGGCAAUUCUCAAUAUGUAGUUUGUUUAAUGUUGUAAGACGCUGCAUUGCAUCCAUAGAGGGUAGACGCCUUAGCCUUUUGCAGUUACAUAACCUCAAAUCCUUUAGGGAUGAGAGGUUCCCAAACCAUUCAGGUAACUCUUCCAUUCCAAAAUUAUCUAAAAUCAACUCCUUUAGAGAUGAGAGGUUCCCAAACCAUUCAGGUAACUCUUCCAUUCCAAAAUCAUAUAACCAUAACUGAGAAAGAGCAGUGAGAAGUUGAAUUGAUUCCGGUAGGCAUUCCCAACUUUCCAUCCCCGCCAAACUUAACUUAUCAAGUGAGUGGCAACAUCCUUGCAAUAUGGCAUCCACAGUCUCCACCCCCAUACUAACAUCGAUGUUUAUGUCUCUCAAGCUGGGAAAAGGCGAAAUCUUAAGACAACUAGUGGCCAUAAAUUUAGGAACUCCUUCGAUUAACAAUUGUGUUAGACGAGGUAAUUUUGGGAGGCAGUCAAUUACCCUUGGUAGAUUCUUUAGGCUACUCAAACCCUCCAACCACAGCUCCUCAAGAGAGAAUCCUAGGAUUUCACAUGGCAAAUGC